This 252-nucleotide ribosomal RNA is filed under the name uncultured bacterium. Its description in RNAcentral is "partial 16S ribosomal RNA". It matches the Rfam family "Bacterial small subunit ribosomal RNA", at positions 524 to 776 of the family's 1533-position model. The record is from RNAcentral.
UACGUAGGGGGCAAGCGUUAUCCGGAAUUAUUGGGCGUAAAGAGUACGUAGGUGGCAACCUAAGCGCAGGGUUUAAGGCAAUGGCUCAACCAUUGUUCGCCCUGCGAACUGGGAUGCUUGAGUGCAGGAGAGGAAAGCGGAAUUCCUAGUGUAGCGGUGAAAUGCGUAGAUAUUAGGAGGAACACCGGUGGCGAAGGCGGCUUUCUGGACUGAAACUGACGCUGAGGCACGAAAGCGUGGGGAGCAAACAGG